This 253-nucleotide ribosomal RNA is filed under the name uncultured bacterium. RNAcentral's name for it is "partial 16S ribosomal RNA". It matches the Rfam family "Bacterial small subunit ribosomal RNA", at positions 524 to 776 of the family's 1533-position model. The record is from RNAcentral.
UACAGAGGGUGCGAGCGUUAAUCGGAUUUACUGGGCGUAAAGCGUGCGUAGGCGGCUGAUUAAGUCGGAUGUGAAAUCCCUGAGUUUAACUUAGGAAUUGCAUUCGAUACUGGUCAGCUAGAGUAUGGGAGAGGAUGGUAGAAUUCCAGGUGUAGCGGUGAAAUGCGUAGAGAUCUGGAGGAAUACCGAUGGCGAAGGCAGCCAUCUGGCCUAUUACUGACGCUGAGGUACGAAAGCAUGGGGAGCAAACAGG